Molecule: transfer RNA, 64 nt
Filed under: Orosius sp.
Lineage: Eukaryota; Metazoa; Arthropoda; Insecta; Hemiptera; Cicadellidae
Description: tRNA-Glu
Source: RNAcentral
AUUUACAUAGUUUAACUACAAACAUUUUAUUUUCGUUAAAAAGAAGGCAAAUUGCCUGUAAAUU